Molecule: long non-coding RNA, 1624 nt
Organism: Homo sapiens (human)
Lineage: Eukaryota; Metazoa; Chordata; Mammalia; Primates; Hominidae
Source: Ensembl
AAUGAUGGGUGUUGUGUUUCUGGCAUGGGUAGAGGGAUGCUACUAAACAUCCUACCGUGCACAGGAUGGCCCUCCACAAUGGAUUCUGUGGCCCCAAAUGUUAAUAGUGCCAAAGUUGAGAGACCCUGGGGUAGAGACGUGUGAUGGGAAGGAAAGAAAAUUACCUUUAGAGCUGCGCGCCGCGGCGGCGGAAGAUGGCUGCGGCCGAGUUGGCGGACACUCAGCUGAUGCUUGGAGUCGGGCUGAUCGAAAAGGACACAAAUGGAGAAGUUCUGUGGGUGUGGUGUUAUCCUUCCACGACAGCCACAUUAAGGAACCUGCUGCUGAGAAAAUGCUGCCUUACAGAUGAAAACAAACUUCUCCAUCCCUUUGUCUUUGGUCAGUACAGAAGAACAUGGUUUUAUAUCACAAUAAUUGAAGUUCCAGAUUCUUCCAUUUUGAAAAAGGUGACUCAUUUUUCUAUUGUCCUGACCGCCAAAGAUUUUAACCCAGAGAAGUAUGCUGCCUUCACUAGGAUAUUGUGUAGAAUGUACCUGAAACAUGGGAGCCCAGUUAAAAUGAUGGAGAGUUAUAUUGCAGUUCUCACAAAGGGGAUAUGCCAGAGUGAAGAAAACGGCUCUUUCCUUAGUAAGGAUUUUGAUGCCCGAAAGGCCUACCCGGCUGGCUCCAUCAAAGACAUUGUAUCUCAGUUUGGAAUGGAAACUGUUAUCUUACACACAGCACUGAUGCUAAAGAAAAGAAUUGUGGUGUAUCACCCCAAGAUAGAAGCGGUCCAGGAGUUCACCAGGACUCUGCCUGCCCUGGUGUGGCACCGACAGGACUGGACCAUCCUUCACUCUUACGUGCACCUCAACGCCGAUGAGCUGGAAGCCCUGCAGAUGUGCACAGGUUACGUCGCUGGAUUUGUAGACUUGGAGGUGAGCAACAGACCAGACCUCUAUGAUGUGUUUGUGAAUCUGGCAGAGAGUGAGAUUACCAUUGCUCCCCUUGCAAAAGAGGCCAUGGCAAUGGGCAAACUGCACAAAGAAAUGGGUCAGCUAAUUGUUCAGUCUGCAGAAGAUCCAGAGAAAUCAGAGAGCCAGGUUAUACAGGAUAUUGCUCUAAAAACAAGAGAAAUCUUUACCAACCUAGCACCGUUUUCAGAAGUUUCGGCUGAUGGAGAAAAGAGAGUCCUUAAUUUGGAGGCGCUAAAGCAAAAACGAUUUCCACCAGCAACAGAAAACUUCCUUUAUCAUCUAGCAGCAGCCGAACAAAUGCUGAAAAUCUGACUGUGUGACAGAACGUAUCACUGAUGACUGAUAGAAAGCCCUCUUUCACUCUGAUUACCCACUCACUACAUGAAGUCCUGAAAAUAACAGAGAAACUGUUAUAUCUUUUUAAUGAUUUAUUUGCAAGUAUUGAGAUUUGACCUGAAAAACAAUGAAACACAUGAACACACUUCCGAUUUUCUCCUCGCUGAUUAGCUUCCUGCCUGCUGUCAGUGCUGGACGAAGUGCUAUAACUACUUUAUGUAACAUUACAGAACAGCUAGAGGUCCUGGGGUAAGAGGAAAAAAGCACAUCACGACAAAUGUGAAAGCCUUCAUUAUUACACGUUCCAGUUUGUCUCGCUGUGUAGGCAUAAG